Long non-coding RNA from Hipposideros armiger (great roundleaf bat), 677 nucleotides. RefSeq lists it as uncharacterized. NCBI's taxonomy places the organism in Eukaryota, Metazoa, Chordata, Mammalia, Chiroptera, Hipposideridae. The record is from RefSeq and is a predicted model, not a curated record. The transcript is spliced from 3 exons.
AAGAGACCUUCACAGGCGCUUGGCACAUGCAUGAGAGAACAGGCGAGAAGGAGGUCAAUGAAGGAAAUGAUGCGUGAGGUCACAUGCCUGCUGCAGCCCCCUUCUUUGGGCUGAAUUGUGUUCUCCGUUAUGUGACUUCCAAGUCAACCUGGAAUCAUGCAGCCAUGAGAGAUGGGGAAAGGCUGGAAAACCAAUCAGGCUACGGGAUAUUUUACAGUGUCAACAGCCAGGCAUGGAAAUGUCAUAGAUCACAUCCACCCAUACUCCACUGGGCAAAGUAAGUCACUUGGCACCUCUUAGAUGCAAAGGAUGCUGGGAAAUGUCACUUAUUCAUGUGCCCAGAGAGGAGAGGAGAACUGAAUGGGGGUGAACUUUAGCAUUCUCUACCACACCCCAACAGGCUCUACUCCCUUCAUCAUAAAAAUGACAAUUUUGAGAAUCAAAGCAUGUCACUAAGUUGCCCAAAACACACAGCCAAUAAUCAAUAGAGCCGAGAGGAAAAUUGGGCAUUGUAGAAACUGAAUCGUGAUGGUGGGGGAAGGGGUGUAAAACUAAGGCCCUUGAACCCAGGUGAGCCAUCUAACCUGCCUCAAAGAGUCGUGAGCUCCGUCACUGGAAGAAGGCAAACAGAGGCUGAUCACUUGGUGGAGAUAUUAAGAAUCAAGUUUUCCAUCAGA